UGAGUUUAGAGACUUUGGACCCGGGUGCUUCUAGACAUCUUGAAAAAGCGUAAGGAAAAUAUUUCAAUCAAGGUAAGCGUCUCCAAGUCUUUAGUUAAACCAAGGACUGUGCACCCACUGUGUAAUUGCUGAUCAACUCUAUACUGAUAACUUUUAAAAUGUUUAAAGUGUUUUGCACAUCGCAUGGAGGUUGUUAUUAUGAUUAAACCAAAUAACCCUGGUUUUGUAGAAACUGCCAAAAUACAGUAUGAAGAAUUAGUUUGCUGACCCAACAACUAAUAAGACAAGCGUAUAAUAUUCAAGGAUGUGUUUGUGAUUAAGGAAAAAAAAAGUUUUACCAUAAAAGUUAUAUAAAUAUAUCAUUCAACAAAAUGUUUCACCCUAAACACUUUACUAUUGAUAGUUUAUCCUUGUAACUAAACAAGGGGAAUGAAUGGUGCACACAGAUACCUCAAUGUAUUUGUAAGGCAGUUGCUUCGGGGAUAUAAAGAGUCCUUCAAUACCAUCACCACCGAUUACUUUAAUCCUCCCAUCCCUACCAAACAAAUAAGAAUCAAAACAACAAUGUGAUUUGUGUGAUGCAGGGAUAUCAUAUCUCCAAAUAGAUGUACGUAAUCUCAUGCCUUCA
RNAcentral lists this long non-coding RNA (628 nucleotides) under Malus domestica (apple). RNAcentral describes it as "long non-coding RNA (MDOM_LNC011572)". The record is from RNAcentral. Lineage: Eukaryota; Viridiplantae; Streptophyta; Magnoliopsida; Rosales; Rosaceae.